CCUACGGGUGGCAGCAGUCGAGAAUCAUUCACAAUGGGGGAAACCCUGAUGGUGCGACGCCGCGUGGGGGAAUGAAGGUCUUCGGAUUGUAAACCCCUGUCAUGUGGGAGCAAAUUAAAAAGAUAGUACCACAAGAGGAAGAGACGGCUAACUCUGUGCCAGCAGCCGCGGUAAUACAUAGGUCUCAAGCGUUGUUCGGAAUCACUGGGCGUAAGGCGUGCGUAGGCUGUUUCGUAAGUCGUGUGUGAAAGGCGCGGGCUCAACCCGCGGACGGCACAUGAUACUGCGAGACUAGAGUAAUGGAGGGGGAACCGGAAUUCUCGGUGUAGCAGUGAAAUGCGUAGAUAUCGAGAGGAACACUCGGGGCGAAGGCGGGUUCCUGGACAUUAACUGACGCUGAGGCACGAAGGCCAGGGGAGCGAAAGGGAUUAGAUACCCUGGUAGUC
RNAcentral lists this ribosomal RNA (446 nucleotides) under uncultured bacterium. RNAcentral's name for it is "partial 16S ribosomal RNA". It matches the Rfam family "Bacterial small subunit ribosomal RNA", at positions 338 to 795 of the family's 1533-position model. The record is from RNAcentral.